This is a long non-coding RNA of Toxotes jaculatrix (banded archerfish), 1887 nucleotides long. RefSeq lists it as uncharacterized. NCBI's taxonomy places the organism in Eukaryota, Metazoa, Chordata, Actinopteri, Toxotidae. The record is from RefSeq and is a predicted model, not a curated record. The transcript is spliced from 4 exons.
GAGAAAUUACUGGAAUGUGUUUAAAAAUAGGUUUUGACAAAUCUGUAAGCUGCAUUACAUGUUAUGCUAUUAUUUCCUCUUGCAGGACCACUGUGUCACAUCUGUCGCCUGUGUACAAAACCUGAUGUUCUGCCUCACUAUUAUUAGUGUCUAAUCACAAUUUUAGGCUCUUGUACUUGCUCUCACAGUACAAUAAAUCCCUUUAUACAAGCACAUCUGCUAAACACCCAAAAUAAAAAAUGUAUCUCUGCAUAAUUUAUCACAGGUGGAGGUCAGGCAACCAGCACCUUUGUGGUAACAGGCAUGGAACCAUCUACAGGAAAGAGAAGAUGAUGUGAUUGUUUGUGCACCUGUGGUAGAAGGCAGCUCCGGUCAGGACGAUGGAGUAGUCAUUGGUCCAUUUAGAGGUGUAGCCCCAGGCGCGCUUCAGGGGAUCCCAGAAGUGGCUCCUGGGAGGGUAGCCUACGAUCCGCUCUGGGAAGCUCCGCCACACCAAGAAGGCAAAGUUCACCUACAAGUGCAGACAUGAAACGCUUAGAUGUUGCUGCUACUCUUUCAAGAAUAUUGAUUUUUAUGUGUGUGCACAUCUGCUGUGUGUUUAUUACUAACACACUGACACAUACCUCACUGGUCAACAAGACUGUAUCCUCGUCCAGACUCAGCACUGCUUCUGUCUCUAUGGCAACGUGAGGUAGGAACCGACUGGUGGUCUGAGAAAGAAAUACAGUAAUAAAUCUUAGAUCUGGUACUGUAGGCUAUGUGUUGUCUGGCAUGUGCUUUGAGAGAUUAUGAGAAUGAGAGAUGAUCAUGUUACAGUAAAUCAUGUUGAGUGACUGAGACGAGUGAGAAUCACUAUAGAUUUUGCCUUGGGAGGGGGGAAAAAAAAGACAGGUAAAAGGGAGAUGAAAGGGAGAAGAAACAUUGAGGAUGAGUGACAUUUAUGAAAGCAAACGUCACACGGAUCGGUGGACAUAUCAGAUGUACAUGGACAGGAAGAAGAGACGCAGAGAAAAUAGACAUCAAGGGCAAGGACCAGUGAAAUGGAGUAACAGAGAAACUGAAAGACAGACACAUAAACAAACUGAGCGAGUGACGGUCUUUCAUGCUGUCACUCAGACGUCACAGAGGGCUUCAGUGUGAGCUGUGAGUGGCGUUGGCCCUCACCUUCCUCCUGCCGUCUGUCACAGUAAGAGGGACGGGCAUGGGAGGCCAUUUGCUCCGGCUGGGUGGCGGCUUCUCACUGUUCCAGAGAAUGAUGAUCUGCAGCAGCAGGGGGAAGGGAAUUUUACACAACACAUACACAGAUAGACGCAUUAGAUUGAUCGGCAAUAACUGCUGACAUCAAUCAACCAGAAGGGGUGGCAUCUAAAUAUCAUGUUAAGCUCUUUGCUGAAGCUUUAGUACUUAGUGUGGAAGACAGCAUGUGUGUUAUAUUUAUUUUUAUCAUAAUAAUUUUUCAUAUGUCUUGUUUACCUGCGAGCAGUACUUUGACUUGGAGACCACCUGGAGCAGCUUCAUGAUUGGCUGAGACUGGGAGACCAAAGGGGAGACAGCAUGUAUGACAGCUGUGAACUCCUGACCUGGACUGACCCCUGAAUGAGAUCACAAAAGAAUAAUGCGAGAGAGGUAUCCACGCAGCAGCAACUCCAACAUCCCCUCUGAAGCCCUCUGCCUCACUGACCUCAGGCUGACUGCACAGCUGGCUCCCAUGGGGAGAGGUUCCCCUCUGCAUGCUGGGCAGCCCGGGAGCUUGGUUUGGAGAGGCCCUUUAACCGAUGGCACAACGGACGCAAGUGGAACUCCAGCCACUCUCCAACACUGUGUGUGUGUGUGCGUGGAGAACAGAGGCAAAAAGACUGGCAAAAUUCUGUUCAAUUUCUGCUUUAU